GUGGGUGUAGCUCAAUUGGUAGAGUGCUUGCCUGGCUUGAACGAGGCCCUGAGUUUGAUCCUCAGCACCACCA
RNAcentral lists this transfer RNA (73 nucleotides) under Ictidomys tridecemlineatus (thirteen-lined ground squirrel). Its description in RNAcentral is "Spermophilus tridecemlineatus (thirteen-lined ground squirrel) tRNA". It matches the Rfam family "tRNA". Rfam says of the family: Transfer RNA (tRNA) molecules are approximately 80 nucleotides in length. Lineage: Eukaryota; Metazoa; Chordata; Mammalia; Rodentia; Sciuridae. The record is from Rfam by way of RNAcentral.